AAAAGAUAAACGGUUGAAGAUUGGUGAUAGAUAAGAGAGGAGUUGCACCAGCCUCAGCGUAAACAACGGUUUGAGUGAAAGAUGGAGUUCGAUUGGUAUCGGAAUUCAAGCCUUAAAGAGAAAGCAUCACCAGCGGAGAAACUUUACUUCGGCGAGCUUGCCGUUUCCAGUGAGAAAA
This is a long non-coding RNA of Brassica oleracea var. oleracea, 178 nucleotides long. RefSeq lists it as uncharacterized. NCBI's taxonomy places the organism in Eukaryota, Viridiplantae, Streptophyta, Magnoliopsida, Brassicales, Brassicaceae. The transcript has 2 exons. The record is from RefSeq and is a predicted model, not a curated record.